GUGAAACUGUUCAGGGGUAAACCUGAGAAACCCGAAAGAUCGAAUGGGGAGAUUCAUCGUCGGCGAGGUUGGCUUUUGCGAGGACGCGAUGUUCGAUGGUUUUCUGUCGUGACACGCGUCCCUGCGAAUGUUACCGGCUUCGUCGGCGUGCACUUCUCCCCUAGUAGAACGUCGCGACCCGUUGGGUAUCGGUCUAAGGCCCGUGCUUUUAGACUGUCGCGUCGCGCUUUACGGCGCGCGUUGGCAGAGGCACGGGUACCUGACCGAAGGCCCGGCGGUACUCGCACGGUAUCGAGCCGCACAUUGUUGAACUGCGUUCAGGCCCACCCGCAAGCUGGUUCAUCUUUUGGAUGCCGGACCUAGUGCCGUCUCUGAAAGUGGAUAGCUGUUGGUAGGCGGUGUCCUCGAACAGGCUCACGUUGAAUUUACAUUCACGAUACCGGUCGGCGACGCUAUUGCUUUGGGUACUUUCAGGACCCGUCUUGAAACACGGACCAAGGAGUCUAACAUGUGCGCGAGUCAUUGGGCAUAUGUUAAACCCAAAGGCGUAUUGAAAGAGAAGGUAGGCCUCGCGUCAACCGAGGGAGGAUGGGCCGUGUCUAGAUGCGGUCUCGCACUCCCGGGGCGUCUCGUACUCAUUACGAGUUGAUGCGCACCCAGAGCGUACACGUUGGGACCCGAAAGAUGGUGAACUAUGCCUGGUCAGGACGAAGUCAGGGGAAACCCUGAUGGAAGUCCGUAGCGAUUCUGACGUGCAAAUCGAUCGUCGGAACUGGGUAUAGGGGCGAAAGACUAAUCGAACCAUCUAGUA
Molecule: ribosomal RNA, 811 nt
Filed under: Oreiscelio naevus
Lineage: Eukaryota; Metazoa; Arthropoda; Insecta; Hymenoptera; Scelionidae
Description: partial 28S ribosomal RNA
Rfam family: Eukaryotic large subunit ribosomal RNA
Source: RNAcentral